CGGCGGACGGGUGAGUAAUGUAUGGGGAUCUGCCUGAUGGCGGGGGGUAACUACUGGAAACGGUAGCUAAUACCGCAUAAUGUCUACGGACCAAAGCGGGGGACCUCCGGGCCUCGCGCCAUCAGAUGAACCCAUAUGGGAUUAGCUUGUAGGUAAGGUAACGGCUUACCUAGGCGACGAUCCCUAGCUGGUCUGAGAGGAUGAUCGGCCACACUGGAACUGAGACACGGUCCAG
This 235-nucleotide ribosomal RNA is filed under the name uncultured bacterium. RNAcentral's name for it is "partial 16S ribosomal RNA". It matches the Rfam family "Bacterial small subunit ribosomal RNA", at positions 96 to 334 of the family's 1533-position model. The record is from RNAcentral.